Molecule: ribosomal RNA, 253 nt
Filed under: uncultured bacterium
Lineage: Bacteria
Description: partial 16S ribosomal RNA
Rfam family: Bacterial small subunit ribosomal RNA
Source: RNAcentral
UACGAAGGGGGCGAGCGUUGUUCGGAGUUACUGGGCGUAAAGGGCGCGUAGGCGGCGCUCCAAGUUAGGCGUGAAAGCCCCGGGCUCAACCUGGGAAUAGCGCUUAAGACUGGAGUGCUCGAGUGCGGAAGAGGUGAGUGGAAUUCCUGGUGUAGCGGUGGAAUGCGCAGAUAUCAGGAGGAACACCAAUAGCGAAGGCAGCUCGCUGGGACGGUACUGACGCUAAGGCGCGAAAGCGUGGGGAGCGAACAGG